Molecule: long non-coding RNA, 202 nt
Filed under: Elaeis guineensis (African oil palm)
Lineage: Eukaryota; Viridiplantae; Streptophyta; Magnoliopsida; Arecales; Arecaceae
Description: long non-coding RNA (EGUI_LNC040451)
Source: RNAcentral
CUACAGUAUCGAGAAAGUCACUAACGAGUGAGCAGACAUCCAUGUAACUGCUCGUGUUGGUCAUGCUAGUGUUAGUUAUUCUCUAAUAACCAUCUGUACUCUCACUCCAGUGUCCUACACUAUAAAUUUCAGACUUAUCUGUCCAAUGGAAGCAAUCCAUGUACUAGUCUAUCUCGAUCAAUUAUCAUCUCCAUAAUGAUCC